Molecule: ribosomal RNA, 145 nt
Filed under: uncultured eukaryote
Lineage: Eukaryota
Description: partial small subunit ribosomal RNA
Rfam family: Eukaryotic small subunit ribosomal RNA
Source: RNAcentral
CCCUGCCAUUUGUACACACCGCCCGUCGCACCUACCGAUUGAGUGUUCCGGUGAAGCCUCGGGAUUGUAGUUGGUGUCCUUUAUUGGACUCUGACCGCGAGAACUUGUCUGAACCUUAUCACUUAGAGGAAGGUGAAGUCGUAAC